Molecule: ribosomal RNA, 324 nt
Filed under: uncultured eukaryote
Lineage: Eukaryota
Description: partial 18S ribosomal RNA
Rfam family: Eukaryotic small subunit ribosomal RNA
Source: RNAcentral
CCCUUAGAUGUUCUGGGCUGCACGCGCGCUACACUGAAGCUAUCAACACGUUUUCCCUCCCUGAGAAGGGCGGGUAACCUUCUGAAUCAGCUUCGUGGUAGGGAUCGGGGCUUGCAAUUGUUCCCCGUGAACCAGGAAUUCCUAGUAGACGCGAGUCAUAAGCUCGCAUCGAUUAAGUCCCUGCCCUUUGUACACGCCGCCCGUCGCUACUACCGAUUGAACGUUUUAGUGAGGCAUUUGGACCGACGCAUCUCAGUUUAACCGCUGGUUUGUGUUGGAAAGACUUCCAAACUUGAGCGUUUAGAGGAAGUAAAAGUCGUAACA